Telopea speciosissima is the source of this 1017-nucleotide RNA transcript. It is a transcript of the gene named thioredoxin-like protein HCF164, chloroplastic, with no coding region annotated. The record is from RefSeq and is a predicted model, not a curated record. NCBI's taxonomy places the organism in Eukaryota, Viridiplantae, Streptophyta, Magnoliopsida, Proteales, Proteaceae. The transcript has 5 exons.
UCAAUCCUUAACUACUGCUCGGCGGUUAAUUCACCGCAAAGCUUAUAUUUUCUGUACGUUCAUAAGAAAAAACAGAACGAAGGGAAAGGCCAUGGCGCGUUUAGCCUCCGACUUCAUCGGCCUUUACACAUUGCGAUUGUGCCCAUCUCUUCAACUUUCCCAAUCAUCGGUUCUCUCCCCAACCUCUCUUCGAUCUCUGGGCAGAAAUAACGCCUCUCGAAGGUUAGCUUGUAUGACGAAGCCAGACCCAUCUGAAACUCAGAAGUCGGAAGAGCUGCCUGUUGAACCUGAUUCAGUCAAGAAUAAUGACAGCCAAGCUGCCUCGUCUUCCCAGAGUGCUGGAUUCUCUGAAGUUCCAAACAAAAAUUUCAACAGACAGAUAGCUUUGGCUUCUACAAUUGUAGCUGUGGGGCUUUUCUUGUCAACCAGGCUUGAUUUUGGUGUUUCCUUGAAGGACUUAUCGGUGGCAGCCAUACCCUAUGAAGAGGCUCUAUCAAAUGGGAGGCCCACCGUUGUAGAGUUCUAUGCAGAUUGGUGUGAAGUAUGUAGAGAACUUGCUCCAGAUGUCUAUAAAGUUGAGCAGCAGUACAAGGGCCGUGUGAAUUUUGUUAUGUUGAACGUUGACAACACAAAGUGGGAGCAGGAGCUUGAUGAGUUUGGUGUUGAGGGUAUCCCACAUUUCGCAUUUCUGGACAGAGAUGGGAAUGAGGAGGGGAACGUUGUGGGGAGGCUUCCAAGACAGUAUUUGAAUGAGAAUGUGGAUGCCCUCGCACGGGGAGAAGCUUCAAUACCUCAUGCUCGGGUUGUGGGACCAUACUCCAGUGCUGAGGCAAGGAAGGUGCACCAAGUUGCUGAUCCUAGAAGCCAUGGUUAGAUGUUACGCCCAGUUGGUAGUAUUACCCUCAUUGGCAUCAUGAAUAUUUAUACAGGCCAGAGUUUCCUUUUGUGGGAAAGGUUCCGGUAUUUGACAAUUUUGUCAUUGAUGGGCUGGCCAACAUAAGAUAAACCAGGAUCUAU